GAAGUCUCCGGAUCUCUACAAUUCCCCUCUGUCCGCCUUCCUUCUAUCUCUUGGGCAGCCUGACAUUUGACGAGGACAGACUCACAGAAUAAAAAUGUUCCAAAUGGGUGGCUGGAAAAAGUGACAUCAUGGGAAACAAGAAUCAAAUCCAGAGGCCGUGCCUGCUGUCUGUAUUAUAAUCAGUAUCCACACUUUAACACAGGGUGAAAUGGGACUCUGCAAACACCAGAACUGUAGCUCCAGUUGGCCCAAUGUAUUCUACCAAGACUUCAGGAAUUCCCAGCUCCUCUUGUUCCAGCAAGUACGACUUUCUGACCUGCAGGGCAUCCACUAAGAUUAUAUGUAAUCCUUCUUUUGAGUCAACUUUAAAGUGUAAUUUACCAGGCACCAUCAUUUAAAUAUGAGAAAACGUUGUGUGGAAGUCGCUUUGGAAGACAGAGACCAGGAAUGACUAAAUGGGAAAGACCCAAGCUCCAUUUCAUUUUUCUGGGUGGAGAUGGUGGAAAGUUGCCCAUAAUAGAAUGCUUAAGUGCCUUUUGCUGGAAUGUGCCCUGAACCCAUUUUGUCACAAUAUAAGAUGUAAAGCUGAGCAUUUAAUCCACAUGCUCAUCUUCAGUUCUGCAACUCUCCUCUGCUGCCGUGGGUCCCUGUGACUCAUCUCCAGAACAUGACUGAAAGAAUGUUGAACUCAUCCAAGAAAUAUGGGACUCCUUGGGAAGAACGUGGCUGACAGGAGAGUACUUGCCAAUGAGAAAAUACCAGAAUUUUUCAUGCAGCUCAGGAUUUCUUUAGGCCAUGCAGGAGUGGAGGAACGUUACCUGCCAAUCUCCAGCCCAGGAAUGACAUGCUGCUUCCAGUGAACUUACUUGUCCAGGAGGUAGGGGCCUAGCCACAUUUCGCUAAGGCCAGGAAUGCCACAGUGAGGUUUGGAUACGCUUUAAAAAUGUCCCGCUCUCCCUCCUAACUGAAAAAAUAGGUCAACUUUCAGUCUCAAGGGCUAGAAAGUAACUGCUUCAAUGAUGCCCCUUUCCAAUGGUGCUCAGCUUGGGGAUUUUACUGUCAGUAUUCCCUGGGAGUUGCCCUGCUUGGAGGAAAUUAAGAAAAUAAAAGCAAUUCACACCACCUCACAGUAAGACUGGAAACUUCUCAUGUAACCAUUUUGAGAAAAACCUUGGAAACACUAAAAGGUGAAGGGGCAAGACCGAUUCUGUUCAACCAAAAUUCUUCAAGCACUGAAUUAGAUACACGUUACUUUAGUUCCAAUUUUUACUUUAGUUGUUGUUUCAGAUGGUUGAUCACCUGAGAGCAUCCCUUGAUAAGAGAUUAGAUAUUUGUUAAGGUGGGAAUUAACCUAGAAAAGCACAGUCUAGAUUUUGGAGCUAUGAAACAAUGCUGUCUCUAUAAAGGCUGUAACUGGGACCCUCAUCUUCUUCAACUCUCAUCCUAAGCAGUGUCCUUAUCUGGAGAUUCCCCCUGAGUUUCUUAUAAGGGCUCAGUAGGAGUGAUAUUGAUUUUACAUUAUUAACAGCCACAAAAACUCUCGAAGGAAGUUCCUUCUUGAUUGCACAAAAGAGGUUUGAAAAAUAGCAAAUGAUAGCAUAGAAGGGAAAGGGGCACACAUCUGAGGUUUCCCAGAGAUCUUGAGAAAGGGAAGGCAUUCUGAGUAAGGAAGUUUUAAUUCAAAAUGAGCUAUGAGUUGGCUAUUUUACUGGGGCAUAGGCCAAGGCAUGGGGCUUAAAAGUCCUGUUGAGUGCUUCUGGCCCCUUUUCUGGAUUUCAGAGAAUCAUGGUUUGUUAUGAUCUGCUUUGUUUUAGGAAGGAGAGAGGAAACAUGACAUCUAAUCAAGAAAUAUUGGAACAGUUCAUCUGUUAGAGACUUACACUUGCUGUGGCUAUUCUGAAGGUAGAACUGAAACCAAUGAGUAAGAAUCAAGGAGAGGUAGAUUUCAUCUUCAUACGUGGAGGAAUUUUGCAAUAAUUAAAAUUGCUUGAAAAAGAGGUUGUUUCAUGGGGGAAUGGAUCGC
Myotis myotis is the source of this 2023-nucleotide long non-coding RNA. RefSeq lists it as uncharacterized. NCBI's taxonomy places the organism in Eukaryota, Metazoa, Chordata, Mammalia, Chiroptera, Vespertilionidae. The transcript has 3 exons. The record is from RefSeq and is a predicted model, not a curated record.